RNAcentral lists this ribosomal RNA (462 nucleotides) under uncultured bacterium. RNAcentral describes it as "partial 16S ribosomal RNA". It matches the Rfam family "Bacterial small subunit ribosomal RNA", at positions 28 to 507 of the family's 1533-position model. The record is from RNAcentral.
GACGAACGCUGGCGGCGUGCUUAACACAUGCAAGUCGAACGGUGAAGCCCUUCGGGGUGGCUCCGUAGCGAACGGGCGGGUAAGACGGUAGCACGCUGCCCCUGUCUCUGGGACACCCACUGGACACGGUGGCUCAUACCCGAUACGCCCCGCCUCUGCUUCACGGGUUGGUGGAAAGGUUUUCGGCUGUGGUUGGUCUCGCGGUCGAUGAGCUCGUUGGGGAGUUGAGGGUUCACGAAGUCGACGCGGGGUAGCCGGCCUGUGAGUGCGAGCGGCCACACGGGGACUGCGACACGGCCCAGAAGGCUACGGGAGGCAGCAGUGGGGAAUAUUGCACAAUGGGCGAAAGCCUGAUGCAGCGACGCCGCGUGAGGGAUGACGGCUUUCGGGUUGUAAACCUCUUUCAGCUCAGAAGAAGCGAAAGUGACGGUAGGAGAAGAAGAAGCACCGGCUAACUACGUG